Molecule: ribosomal RNA, 496 nt
Filed under: uncultured bacterium
Lineage: Bacteria
Description: bacterial SSU rRNA
Rfam family: Bacterial small subunit ribosomal RNA
Source: RNAcentral
AUGAACGCUAGCGGCAGGCUUAAUACAUGCAAGUUGAGGGGCAGCAUGAUAUACGCGAGUAUAUUGAUGGCGACCGGCGGACGGGUGAGUAAUAGGUAGGAGACCUACCUCAUACAGGGGGAUAGCAUAGAGAAAUCUGUGGUAAUACCCCAUGAGGUUAUAUGAAUAGAGGCAUAUAAUCAAAGCAUAAGCGAUUAGUGCGGUAUGAGAGGGGCCUACUGACCAUUAGCUAGUUGGUGAGGUAAGGGCUCACCAAGGCGAAGAUGGUUAGGGGUUUUGAGAGAGAGACCCCCCCACAUUGGAACUGAGAGACGGUCCAGACUCCUACGGGAGGCAGCAGUAGGGAAUAUUGGGCAAUGGGCGAAAGCCUGACCCAGCCAUGCCGCGUGAAGGAAGACGGCCUUAUGGGUUGUAAACUUCUUUACUACGCGAAUAGAGGUUAGUACGAGAUACUAAUAGGAGGGUAGUGUAGUAAAAAGCACCGGCUAACUCCGUG